CCUCUCUGGAGAGCCUCUUACAAGAGCGCCGAAGGUGUAAGGCGGUUCGCCGAUCUCUCAGGCAAAAGGACAGAGCAA
This 78-nucleotide non-coding RNA is filed under the name human gut metagenome. RNAcentral's name for it is "Glycine riboswitch". It matches the Rfam family "Glycine riboswitch aptamer", at positions 9 to 86 of the family's 94-position model. From Rfam's summary of the family: This family represents the bacterial glycine riboswitch. Glycine riboswitches usually consist of two metabolite-binding aptamers domains with similar structures in tandem. The record is from RNAcentral.